Molecule: ribosomal RNA, 425 nt
Filed under: uncultured Faecalibacterium sp.
Lineage: Bacteria; Bacillati; Bacillota; Clostridia; Eubacteriales; Oscillospiraceae
Description: bacterial SSU rRNA
Rfam family: Bacterial small subunit ribosomal RNA
Source: RNAcentral
UGGGGAAUAUUGCACAAUGGGCGCAAGCCUGAUGCAGCAACGCCGCGUGAGGGAAGACGGUCUUCGGAUUGUAAACCUUUGUCUUUGGUGAAGAAGAUAAUGACGGUACUCAACAAGGAAGUGACGGCUAACUACGUGCCAGCAGCCGCGGUAAAACGUAGGUCACAAGCGUUGUCCGGAAUUACUGGGUGUAAAGGGAGCGCAGGCGGGAAGACAAGUUGGAAGUGAAAUCCAUGGGCUCAACCCAUGAACUGCUUUCAAAACUGUUUUUCUUGAGUAGUGCAGAGGUAGGCGGAAUUCCCGGUGUAGCGGUGGAAUGCGUAGAUAUCGGGAGGAACACCAGUGGCGAAGGCGGCCUACUGGGCACCAACUGACGCUGAGGCUCGAAAGUGUGGGUAGCAAACAGGAUUAGAUACCCUGGUAGU